GAGUCGCGUGCUUAGGGUUUUAGUGGCAUUCAAAAAUUGUUCCAAAUCCAUAAAAUAAUCGAAGCCGCAAUUUUGGAACUCCCAAUUCGACUUCAGGUAGAGCAAUUUCUCGGAUGACAAUGGCGGAUGGUGGUCCCAUCUCCCCGCCAUGUCCGUCUGCUGAUGCAACCACCGUCAACAAAAUCAAUUUUUCAUGGGAAGGUUCCUCACUCUUUCCUUGACUUCGUUUUUAACCGGCCUCACGGCGACGACUCCAUGAAAAUCCACUGGAAAAUGUUUGCGGGCAUGUCCCCUUGCUUUCUUUGUCUAUAUAUAUUGUGUAACGAUCAUUCGAUUCACCCCCACCAAACAUUCCUGCCCCUUUUCUCUCCCAGCCAUACUCGUUGGUUUCGAUUCCCGAUUCGGUUCCAUAGCCAUGGAGUUUGGAGAGCUGAAGAGGAAUUUUGAGGCUUUGAAGGAUCUUGUUGAAAAGCAGGAGAGCAGAGUGCAGUACCAUGAGAGCAGAGCCCAGAACAUAACUAUGGCCUACCUUAUCUGGGGGCGGUUGUUCUUCUUUGCUAUCUCUCAGACUUCUUCGUCCCUCCUCAAGUGUAUUGAUUGGUGGAUGGUUUUGGGUUUGAGUGUUUCGUGUGCCUUCGUCUACUUUCUGUUUUUCCUGGAGGCUGUCACCAUGUUAUAUCGGGUUCAGCACCAGAUGGACAUAAUUUGCAAGGAACAGGCAGAAAUUUGCCAGCAGAUUUUGGUGGCCAGAAGCCAAUUAGAUGAUGUGGAUCUGGCAAUGGAGGCUGGAGAUUCAAGUGAUGGGUUCCAGUUCAGUUUCCACGUGAAGUUACUUGAGUAUGGUGCAUUUAGAAUUGUGGAGAGGAAAUUUUACAUAUGCGCCACUGUCUCUGCUCUGCUUGCUGUUACUGCUAUUGAACUAUACGCCUGUAAGUUCUUGUUAUGCAACUGAACCGGACAUCGUUUUGGCGCCCUAUUGGUAAACAAUUUGUUACAACUGCUGUGUCUAUAAAAUCUCCCUAUAAGGAUUCGUGUAGAAAUGAAAGGAUUAGAGGUUCUUGGCUUUAUUGUGAUAUGUUUGGCUAGGGACGAAUAUGGAAGUUUUUACAGGUGCAGGAAGAGAAAAGAUUUGAAGUUUGGCACGUCUGGAAGCUCUUUGUGGGCUAUAUUGGUUAAUUCUUUUAAUAGUGUUCCUUUGUUUCUAUUCUCAACAAUUGAAGUUCCUUUGGUUAUUUAGGCUUGUGUUUUUGUAUGGCCUAGUUGGUUUCUUGUUAUUCUUUCAUUUCAUUUUAUGAUAGUGGUUUCUUAAAAAAUAAAAUAAAGCAAUGAAAAAUCUUAUCAGCGAAGAAAUUCCAAGGGGCAGGAGAAAUAUAGGAGAUAGGGAAUCAAAACAGAAACAAUAGAGAGAAAAGGGAUGACAGAGAAAUGAAAAGAUGACCAAGAAAUCAUUCGCAUUCUCAUUGAAUAUCAAAGCAUCAGCCAGAAAAUAGUAAGAGAAUAUUCUGUUACAAUUAUUACCAAAAUAAUGAGAAGUCAGAAAAAAAUAAGAAUUUAGAAUGUAUCAUACUAUAAUUUAGUUGGUUGUAGCUUUGCUUUGUACUUGUACAAUUCUUCUGUUUUGUUUGUUUGUUUUUUUUCCCCCAUUAAAAGAGAGAAAAACACCUUUUAGCUGUAAGAUAUAUGUGGUGUAUGCUGAUUGUAGACAUUCAAGGUAUACGUGGAAAAUUUGCAUUAGAAGGACAAUUACAUCUAUUCUUCUAUUAUUCUGGGUAGAAUUCUGAAAAUCUUGCCUUUGUUGAUAGAAUGGAAACCUAAGAUUCUGUUUGUGUUCAUUAAACUACUAUAUAAUACUACGCAUCAUCUCUAGUAGGGUUGCUGAUGUAUUCUUUUCGCUCAAUCUUGAAUUAACAUAACUACAUGUUAAUGUGUUAUUUUCUUUGAGUCUUGAAUUUAUAAUGGUUCUCAAUUUUGUAAACACCAAGAAAGUUGUCGCUGGAGACUUGAUUGGUUAUUUCUUUUUGUGUUGCUAGUGCUAAUUUAGAGUGGUUGAUAUACAUGAAUAACUAGUGGCCUAUUAGUUGAGAUAGUUUCAAUUGGGUUUAUGAAACUUUCAAUUUCUUUUAUGGGGCUAUAUGGAAAGAUCAUUAUAAAAAGAGUGUUUUUUUCUUUGGUAGUUCAGCCAGGAAGCCAUAAAUAUAUUUGACAAGCCUCAACAUAACGUAGAAUGCGGUACAUGUGUAUCUCCCUCCACUAAUCCACAAUUUGCAAAAGAAGUUCCAAUUCUCAACAACACAUUUUUAGCACCGGUGAAUUAGCUGUCUCAUUUUGGGGUUCCAUCCUCUUUAUCUUUUGCUGGUUCACAAUUCUCCCUAAUGGUAUUCAAGAGGAACCGAAAACCGAUACGACUGACCGAAACCGACUGAACCGAAGUUGGUUGGUGUACAUAAAUUCUCCCCUUUUCCAUCAUUAUAGGUUUUUCUCUUUAUCAUCCAUUGGAGAAGUUUUUUGUAACUUGUUUGGAUGGUAUCUCUUCUCCUUUUUGUAACUCGCUGAUUUAUUCUUUCUUGCUCAUUUUAACUUUGCUGAUAACUUUUUUGGGCAUAUUAUAUGUGUUAGAACAUGAGGCUCACUUUGUUGUUUAUUCAUUGCACUCAAUCCCAAGGCUGUAUUUGCUAUGUUUAGGAAUAGAUAAUGCAUUUGUUGUUGGAGGAUGCUUGUAAAUAUGCUUGGGUUGAAUUAGUCCUUUUACUGUUGGCUUGGUGAGAUCACCAUCACUCGUCAUCUUCAACCAAUGUUUUAAAAGGCUAAAGGCGGCCUCGAGGCUUUUUCUCUUGAAAAGGCGAGGCGUAAGCCUCAAGGCGGUAUGAGGCGUAAGCCUCAAUUUUAAUUAAAAGAAUUAAACAAAUCCUAAAUUUGUGUGGUCAAGUAUUACCAAACAUAAUAGUUAUAUAAAAUUAUCAAAAUAUCCACUUGUUACUUGUCACUCAAAAAAAAUUCUAAAAAAACAUCAUAACAUCACUACUAUUA
Momordica charantia (bitter melon) is the source of this 3027-nucleotide non-coding RNA. The record is from RefSeq and is a predicted model, not a curated record. NCBI's taxonomy places the organism in Eukaryota, Viridiplantae, Streptophyta, Magnoliopsida, Cucurbitales, Cucurbitaceae.